Molecule: long non-coding RNA, 2088 nt
Organism: Siniperca chuatsi (mandarin fish)
Lineage: Eukaryota; Metazoa; Chordata; Actinopteri; Centrarchiformes; Sinipercidae
Exons: 2
Source: RefSeq, a predicted model, not a curated record
UAUUUAGGCCUCUGCCAAGCAGAGAUCAGGGUGGAAAAUACACAGGAUCCCCGGCGCCAAGUCCCUUGCUCUCGGAAAAUCCGCCCCAGAAGCGUCCAAGCAAAGGGCCUGGAUUUAAUCACCCACCGUGGCAUUUGUCCUCAGUCUGAAGAAAGAAAGCUACAAUCAAUCUACAUCAAUGUGACUCUCAAUCCCUCCACCAGCAAUCGUAUUAAAAAGACACGUUCUCUAUUGUCAUCUUCUCUCACACCCUGCCCACAGGCAAAGUCCUAUCUGCUUCAAAUCAUCCACCUUCAGUCUUCUGCCCAGAAAAGACAAGGUUGCCUGCCUCCCUGACUACAAGCCAGAGACAAUGACCUCAGUCCUAAUGAAGACCAGCAAGUGCCUGGUUUUGUCCUUCACCAAAUGUGUCACACACCCAUCAUUAUUUCAUUCCUUUCACUUUGCCUGCAUGAGAAUCGAAAUGGAUCUGAACUGCAUCUGGGACCUGGAAUACCUGCAUACACCUGGGUAUUUUGCUAGGAUGAUGGUUAUUGCUCUGUGUUCACUGCUAAAAUUCCCAGAUAAAUGCAUGGAUGGCAGAGCUGUAUCUAGGAAAGGUCUGGUAUAAGUUAUCUGCUCAAAAGUUAACACAUUUAAUGAAUUCAUAACACAAUUCAUUAUUUUAGGCCUACAGAGACAUUAUUUAAUACCUGGAUUUCAUCAUGUGCAGGAGGUUGAGACCUUAAGUCAGGAUGAUGACCAGCAGUUGACUCCAUUUUAUCUUCUUGCCUUUUCAGGUUACAUACACGGCUACUGUUUGGUGGCAUUAGCAUCUCACCACCCAUGCCAGUAGCCACAUAAAAGUUCACUACAAAGCUAACGCCAUAAAGCUAGAGCAGUAUUGGUUGAGAGAGAGAGACACCCAGCUACAAUUCCAAAAAUAGCUUGUUAUCCUUUUGGAGGCAAUAGCAAUUGACAAGCUACAGGUUUGUAUCACCGACUGGAGCAGGAAAAACUCUGAGCUACGGUAUAUCAACUGCUAGCUCAAUUGUAGUACGGAGCAGGGAUCUCUUAGCAAAGCUGGUCAGUAACAAAGUGAGAGAUAUAUACAGCCUAAUGGGUUGCAAAUGCUAAUCCGCCGGAGAGAAAAAUGGCAACUUACCUUUAUAGUCUGUGCUUUGUAGCUGAAGCUACCUAGCAUUAUACAGGCAAGACUGGAAAGAUGAACACCGGUUAUGCAGCCUCUGAAGGACGAAAAAUAGCCCCAACCGAUUGGUAAAGAGGCUCAUGGCAUAGGUGGUGAAACGCUAACGCUAGCUAAUGCUAUAACCUGCGCAAAAGGAAAAGGAGACAACUGCUGGGUGUCAGGCUCUUUUAUCUAAUCGCUUACAUCGUCCAGUUAACACGUGUGAUUAUUACGAAGGUUUCGACUUCUCGCACAUGUGCGUGAUGGAAAUCCGAGAAAAACAUACCAUCUCUGGCAGUCAGGAGGAAAUCACAGAAUUGCAGUUACAUUCAUAACUCUUGUUGACCAUGAAACAGCUUUCACCUCGACCCCACUCACACUGAGCUCCUUCCACAUCUGUACAUACAACUGCAAUGUCCACUGACUGACCACUGUUGCGUGAUGCUGUGUUUUAAAAUGUUGAAUGUCGACAUGGAUGUAGGCAGCAUUUGUAUGUUUACAUUUGUGUUUCUGAAUCAAGGAAACCUUCCAUUCUAUAAUUUAAAGAAACACUCAAACUUUUGGGAACAUAAUUGUCUGAACGAUCAAAUGAUCUGAAUACAAUCUAUCAAGGUUCUUGCCCCGUCAGAUUCAGACUUCGUUUUAGCGAUGUUGCCGCCAAACCAACAAAAAUAAGAUCAUGGCUGUAAUAAACCAGUCUCUGACACUGCACAUCUAGUUACCUCUUCCAGAGAUGAUGCUGAUUUGUUGAGACCAAGAUCACCUGCCAGGAGCUGUCACCUGUCUCUGUAUUACUGCGCAGGUUUGCUGGUGUACUUGCACAGCUCAUAGAAACAUUUGCUCUCUCUUCCACAUUAGCCUCAGAAAACAUGUCUACAAGCCAUAAUAAUCAGAUCUCAUUUUUCUUUUUAUACUCAGUA